ACUGUUCGCCAGAGAACUACAAGCGAAAAACUUAAAACUCUAAGGACUUGGCGGUGCUCCAUACCAACCUAGAGGAGCCUGUCCUAUAAUCGAUACCCCACGCUCAACCUUACCCCCCCCUAAAAACACAGCCAAUAUACCGCCUUCCCCAGCCUACCUAAUGAAAAAAAUUAGUUGAGCACAAUAAUUAACAACUAGCACUUCAGGUCAAGGGGUGCCAAAGGGGGCGGCAAAAAUGGGCUACUUUUCCUCCUACAGGAAAUACUUACAGGGUAAGGAAACACCCACCUUAAGGGGGAUUUACCAUUAAACCAACCUACCAUUAUGGUUUCAAACCGGCUCUGGAGCGCGCACACCCCGCCCGC
This 365-nucleotide ribosomal RNA is filed under the name Ablepharus mahabharatus. Its description in RNAcentral is "partial small subunit ribosomal RNA". The record is from RNAcentral. Lineage: Eukaryota; Metazoa; Chordata; Lepidosauria; Squamata; Scincidae.